This 270-nucleotide long non-coding RNA is filed under the name Lotus japonicus. RNAcentral's name for it is "long non-coding RNA (LJAP_LNC001649)". The record is from RNAcentral. Lineage: Eukaryota; Viridiplantae; Streptophyta; Magnoliopsida; Fabales; Fabaceae.
ACGGGUGGUAAUACAUGGAGCUCGGGCCCUGCACCGCCACCUCCUCCGGGGACACCUACGGUUACAAAAGGCAACCNGGACACCUACGGUUACAAAAGGCAAACGAGAUCACAAGUCUGGUGGGCAUAGCACCUCAUCAGGUGCUGGCACAAGUGAUGGAGGCAAAAAAUCUGGUAUUGGAGGUGGUGGCAUUGCUGGAAUAAUUAUCUCUAUCCUAGUUGUUGGGGCGAUAAUAGCAUUCUUUCUGGUAAAGAGAAGAUCCAAGAAGUC